This 20-nucleotide non-coding RNA is filed under the name Arabidopsis thaliana (thale cress). The record is from RNAcentral. Lineage: Eukaryota; Viridiplantae; Streptophyta; Magnoliopsida; Brassicales; Brassicaceae.
GGAGCAGGUGAACUGUGGCC